This 370-nucleotide ribosomal RNA is filed under the name uncultured organism. RNAcentral describes it as "bacterial SSU rRNA". It matches the Rfam family "Bacterial small subunit ribosomal RNA", at positions 526 to 896 of the family's 1533-position model. The record is from RNAcentral.
CGAAGGGGGCUAGCGUUGCUCGGAAUUACUGGGCGUAAAGGGAGCGUAGGCGGACAUUUAAGUCAGAGGUGAAAUCCCGGAGCUUAACUUCGGAACUGCCUUUGAUACUGGGUGUCUUGAGUGUGAGAGAGGUAUGUGGAACUCCGAGUGUAGAGGUGAAAUUCGUAGAUAUUCGGAAGAACACCAGUGGCGAAGGCGACAUACUGGCUCAUUACUGACGCUGAGGCUCGAAAGCGUGGGGAGCAAACAGGAUUAGAUACCCUGGUAGUCCACGCCGUAAACGAUGAUUGCUAGUUGUCGGGAAGCUUGCUUCUCGGUGACGCAGCUAACGCAUUAAGCAAUCCGCCUGGGGAGUACGGUCGCAAGAUUA